GUGGCUUCUGAUUGCUUAUUGCACCACAUGUGUUUUUUAUUGAACAAAUUUCUUUGGUGGCGGGAGCAAUCCUACCGCCAGAGGUUAUAACUAAACCAAACUUUUUAUUUACAGUCAAACUUGAUUUAUUAUUACAAUAGUCAAAACUUUCAACAACGGAUCUCUUGGUUCUCGCAUCGAUGAAGAACGCAGCGAAAUGCGAUACGUAAUAUGAAUUGCAGAUAUUCGUGAAUCAUCGAAUCUUUGAACGCACAUUGCGCCCUUUGGUAUUCCAAAGGGCAUGCCUGUUUGAGCGUCAUUUCUCCCUCAAACCCCCGGGUUUGGUGUUGAGCAAUACGCUAGGUUUGUUUGAAAGAAUUUAACGUGGAAACUUAUUUUAAGCGACUUAGGUUUAUCCAAAAACGCUUAUUUUGCUAGUGGCCACCACAAUUUAUUUCAUAACUUUGACCUCAAAUCAGGUAGGACUACCCGCUGAACUUAAGCAUAUCAAAAGCGGGAGGAA
RNAcentral lists this ribosomal RNA (502 nucleotides) under Candida albicans. Its description in RNAcentral is "eukaryotic LSU rRNA". The stretch from base 145 to 298 matches the Rfam family "5.8S ribosomal RNA". Lineage: Eukaryota; Fungi; Ascomycota; Pichiomycetes; Serinales; Debaryomycetaceae. The record is from RNAcentral.